This 253-nucleotide ribosomal RNA is filed under the name uncultured bacterium. RNAcentral describes it as "partial 16S ribosomal RNA". It matches the Rfam family "Bacterial small subunit ribosomal RNA", at positions 524 to 776 of the family's 1533-position model. The record is from RNAcentral.
UACGGGGGGGGCAAGCGUUGUUCGGAAUUACUGGGCGUAAAGGGCUCGUAGGUGGCCAACUAAGUCAGACGUGAAAUCCCUCAGCUUAACUGGGGAACUGCGUCUGAUACUGGAUGGCUUGAGUUUGGGAGAGGGAUGCGGAAUUCCAGGUGUAGCGGUGAAAUGCGUAGAUAUCGUAAGGAAGACCAGUGGCGAAGGCGGGUCUCUGGACAGUUCCUGACGCUGAGGCACGAAGGUCAGGGGAGCAAACGGG